CUCAGCAGCCACAGCCUGAAGAACCCUCCUCUUAUCUGCUCUUUCAAACUGCUCACUCUGUGGAUUCUCCACGGAAAAUACAAGGUCUUCUAGUAGAAUGGGCCUUGCUUUUUCAGAUAUAGUUAUGAGGAAAGAAACAACUUUGAACCUGUGCCAGGGAGGAGGAAGCCAGGAAGAAAAUGAAGCCUAAAACCAACUCAGGCACCAAACCCAGCAUUUGUCUUUGACCUCUAGGAAUCAGUCCCGUCAGGAAGCCAUGAAAUGGGACAGAAUGCGGAAGCACCAUGAACCCAAAAGUGAGUUUCAAGAUCCACCUGGAGUUUUAAAGCCUUGGUGUUGCUGCCCACAGGAGGAGCCCACAGGAGAUGGGCAGAGGAAAACCAGCCCAGGGAAUCCUUCUGCAAAUAACCCAACAGAUCACACUGGCAGUUGCUCCUGGAUACUUCCUUAUUCCUGAUAUCUGCAAACUCUGGGUCUAGAGUACCUUUAUUGCUGCCCCCACUUUUAGGAACAGUGUAGUCCAUAAAUGUACUGGGCUCUUCUUUCUUCUGGGACUUCCUAUUGUUUCAUAUGCCUUAUUUUUGGCAUAUGAAACAACACAUAUAUAUAUAUAUCUAUAUAUAAAAUAUAUGUAUUAUAUAUAAUAUAUAAUAUAUAUAACCCACACAUAUACAUAUAUAUGCCAGAAAUAAAGCAUGUAUACUUGUUUUGUAUGCCA
Molecule: long non-coding RNA, 718 nt
Filed under: Piliocolobus tephrosceles (Ugandan red Colobus)
Lineage: Eukaryota; Metazoa; Chordata; Mammalia; Primates; Cercopithecidae
Description: lncRNA (ENSPTEG00000008972.1)
Source: RNAcentral